This 500-nucleotide ribosomal RNA is filed under the name uncultured bacterium. RNAcentral's name for it is "partial 16S ribosomal RNA". It matches the Rfam family "Bacterial small subunit ribosomal RNA", at positions 899 to 1397 of the family's 1533-position model. The record is from RNAcentral.
ACUCAAAUGAAUUGACGGGGGCCCGCACAAGCGGUGGAGCAUGUGGUUCAAUUCGAUGCAACGCGAAGAACCUUACCUGGGUUUGAACUGCAACCGAAAUAAUCAGAGAUGGUUAUGUCUAGCAAUAGACGGUUGUAGAGGUGCUGCAUGGCUGUCGUCAGCUCGUGUCGUGAGAUGUUGGGUUAAGUCCCGCAACGAGCGCAACCCUUGCCUCUAGUUGCUCGGUUGAAAGAUCAGCACUCUAGAUGGGACUGCCGGUGAUAAACCGGAGGAAGGUGGGGAUGACGUCAAGUCAUCAUGGCCUUUAUGUCCAGGGCUACACACGUGCUACAAUGGAUGGUACAAAGGGUCGCUAAAUCGCAAGGUGGAGCCAAUCCCAUAAAACCAACCUCAGUUCGGAUUGCAGUCUGCAACUCGACUGCAUGAAGGUGGAAUCGCUAGUAAUCGCGGAUCAGCAUGCCGCGGUGAAUACGUUUCCGGGCCUUGUACACACCGCCCGU